AGGCAUUGAGGCAGCCAGCGCAGGGGCUUCUGCUGAGGGGGCAGGCGGAGCUUGAGGAAACCGCAGAUAAGUUUUUUUCUCUUUGAAAGAUAGAGAUUAAUACAACUACUUAAAAAAUAUAGUCAAUAGGUUACUAAGAUAUUGCUUAGCGUUAAGUUUUUAACGUAAUUUUAAUAGCUUAAGAUUUUAAGAGAAAAUAUGAAGACUUAGAAGAGUAGCAUGAGGAAGGAAAAGAUAAAAGGUUUCUAAAACAUGACGGAGGUUGAGAUGAAGCUUCUUCAUGGAGUAAAAAAUGUAUUUAAAAGAAAAUUGAGAGAAAGGACUACAGAGCCCCGAAUUAAUACCAAUAGAAGGGCAAUGCUUUUAGAUUAAAAUGAAGGUGACUUAAACAGCUUAAAGUUUAGUUUAAAAGUUGUAGGUGAUUAAAAUAAUUUGAAGGCGAUCUUUUAAAAAGAGAUUAAACCGAAGGUGAUUAAAAGACCUUGAAAUCCAUGACGCAGGGAGAAUUGCGUCAUUUAAAGCCUAGUUAACGCAUUUACUAAACGCAGACGAAAAUGGAAAGAUUAAUUGGGAGUGGUAGGAUGAAACAAUUUGGAGAAGAUAGAAGUUUGAAGUGGAAAACUGGAAGACAGAAGUACGGGAAGGCGAAGAAAAGAAUAGAGAAGAUAGGGAAAUUAGAAGAUAAAAACAUACUUUUAGAAGAAAAAAGAUAAAUUUAAACCUGAAAAGUAGGAAGCAGAAGAAAAAAGACAAGCUAGGAAACAAAAAGCUAAGGGCAAAAUGUACAAACUUAGAAGAAAAUUGGAAGAUAGAAACAAGAUAGAAAAUGAAAAUAUUGUCAAGAGUUUCAGAUAGAAAAUGAAAAACAAGCUAAGACAAGUAUUGGAGAAGUAUAGAAGAUAGAAAAAUAUAAAGCCAAAAAUUGGAUAAAAUAGCACUGAAAAAAUGAGGAAAUUAUUGGUAACCAAUUUAUUUUAAAAGCCCAUCAAUUUAAUUUCUGGUGGUGCAGAAGUUAGAAGGUAAAGCUUGAGAAGAUGAGGGUGUUUACGUAGACCAGAACCAAUUUAGAAGAAUACUUGAAGCUAGAAGGGGAAGUUGGUUAAAAAUCACAUCAAAAAGCUACUAAAAGGACUGGUGUAAUUUAAAAAAAACUAAGGCAGAAGGCUUUUGGAAGAGUUAGAAGAAUUUGGAAGGCCUUAAAUAUAGUAGCUUAGUUUGAAAAAUGUGAAGGACUUUCGUAACGGAAGUAAUUCAAGAUCAAGAGUAAUUACCAACUUAAUGUUUUUGCAUUGGACUUUGAGUUAAGAUUAUUUUUUAAAUCCUGAGGACUAGCAUUAAUUGACAGCUGACCCAGGUGCUACACAGAAGUGGAUUCAGUGAAUCUAGGAAGACAGCAGCAGACAGGAUUCCAGGAACCAGUGUUUGAUGAAGCUAGGACUGAGGAGCAAGCGAGCAAGCAGCAGUUCGUGGUGAAGAUAGGAAAAGAGUCCAGGAGCCAGUGCGAUUUGGUGAAGGAAGCUAGGAAGAAGGAAGGAGCGCUAACGAUUUGGUGGUGAAGCUAGGAAAAAGGAUUCCAGGAAGGAGCGAGUGCAAUUUGGUGAUGAAGGUAGCAGGCGGCUUGGCUUGGCAACCACACGGAGGAGGCGAGCAGGCGUUGUGCGUAGAGGAUCCUAGACCAGCAUGCCAGUGUGCCAAGGCCACAGGGAAAGCGAGUGGUUGGUAAAAAUCCGUGAGGUCGGCAAUAUGUUGUUUUUCUGGAACUUACUUAUGGUAACCUUUUAUUUAUUUUCUAAUAUAAUGGGGGAGUUUCGUACUGAGGUGUAAAGGGAUUUAUAUGGGGACGUAGGCCGAUUUCCGGGUGUUGUAGGUUUCUCUUUUUCAGGCUUAUACUCAUGAAUCUUGUCUGAAGCUUUUGAGGGCAGACUGCCAAGUCCUGGAGAAAUAGUAGAUGGCAAGUUUGUGGGUUUUUUUUUUUUACACGAAUUUGAGGAAAACCAAAUGAAUUUGAUAGCCAAAUUGAGACAAUUUCAGCAAAUCUGUAAGCAGUUUGUAUGUUUAGUUGGGGUAAUGAAGUAUUUCAGUUUUGUGAAUAGAUGACCUGUUUUUACUUCCUCACCCUGAAUUCGUUUUGUAAAUGUAGAGUUUGGAUGUGUAACUGAGGCGGGGGGGAGUUUUCAGUAUUUUUUUUUGUGGGGGUGGGGGCAAAAUAUGUUUUCAGUUCUUUUUCCCUUAGGUCUGUCUAGAAUCCUAAAGGCAAAUGACUCAAGGUGUAACAGAAAACAAGAAAAUCCAAUAUCAGGAUAAUCAGACCACCACAGGUUUACAGUUUAUAGAAACUAGAGCAGUUCUCACGUUGAGGUCUGUGGAAGAGAUGUCCAUUGGAGAAAUGGCUGGUAGUUACUCUUUUUUCCCCCCACCCCCUUAAUCAGACUUUAAAAGUGCUUAACCCCUUAAACUUGUUAUUUUUUACUUGAAGCAUUUUGGGAUGGUCUUAACAGGGAAGAGAGAGGGUGGGGGAGAAAAUGUUUUUUUCUAAGAUUUUCCACAGAUGCUAUAGUACUAUUGACAAACUGGGUUAGAGAAGGAGUGUACCGCUGUGCUGUUGGCACGAACACCUUCAGGGACUGGAGCUGCUUUUAUCCUUGGAAGAGUAUUCCCAGUUGAAGCUGAAAAGUACAGCACAGUGCAGCUUUGGUUCAUAUUCAGUCAUCUCAGGAGAACUUCAGAAGAGCUUGAGUAGGCCAAAUGUUGAAGUUAAGUUUUCCAAUAAUGUGACUUCUUAAAAGUUUUAUUAAAGGGGAGGGGCAAAUAUUGGCAAUUAGUUGGCAGUGGCCUGUUACGGUUGGGAUUGGUGGGGUGGGUUUAGGUAAUUGUUUAGUUUAUGAUUGCAGAUAAACUCAUGCCAGAGAACUUAAAGUCUUAGAAUGGAAAAAGUAAAGAAAUAUCAACUUCCAAGUUGGCAAGUAACUCCCAAUGAUUUAGUUUUUUUCCCCCCAGUUUGAAUUGGGAAGCUGGGGGAAGU
RNAcentral lists this long non-coding RNA (3022 nucleotides) under Homo sapiens (human). RNAcentral describes it as "HSALNT0363319". Lineage: Eukaryota; Metazoa; Chordata; Mammalia; Primates; Hominidae. The record is from RNAcentral.